Canis lupus familiaris (dog) is the source of this 2543-nucleotide long non-coding RNA. RefSeq lists it as uncharacterized. The record is from RefSeq and is a predicted model, not a curated record. The transcript has 4 exons. Lineage: Eukaryota; Metazoa; Chordata; Mammalia; Carnivora; Canidae.
UGAAGCCAAGCAGCCUGGCUCCAGAGCCCAAGCUCUUGACCUCAGUGCUAUGUAGCCUCUGUGUACCAGACCCACCAUUGCUGGAACAGUCUGCCUCUCCUACCUUGGCCCUCAGGAGCAGGGGACGUACUUUAUCGAUCUUCAGGUCCUCAGAGACCAGUACAGUUCCUGACAUGAGGAAGGAGCUAAUAUGGUGACAUAAAAGACUGGAGUCCAUUCAGUGACUACCUGAAACUGGAGCCAAUGUAAAAGAAAACAGAGUCUGGACCUGGAGAAACAGACAAAGACCAGAUCCUGGAAAGAUCAUUUGAACCCCUGGAUUCAGCUACACCUGUCUUUGAAGUCAAGUGGUUCUGAAUUUUAAGUUACAUUACUCAUUAAAUGACCAGGGUGCAGAAGACCACUUCACAGACAUGGUUUGCAGGUAGUACAUGAAGCUGGGCAGAUAUUCAUCUAAAAGAAAUCAAUCACAAGAUACUAAGCCAUUAAUAGAUCCAUCCAUAUGGAGCAGACACAACAGAGACAGCACGGGCUGCUGGGCGGUACUGACGCAUGGAGCGGACAAGAAUUUGCUUCUCAUCAACCUCAACUGUGGAUUCCUCUGAUGGGCUAUUCUUGGAGAUGCCUUAACAGUGACUUUAACUGUCUCUCUAAGAUACGAAAUGACCAAACCUCCCUCCCAUCCGUAAACAGAUUAGCCCUAAUCUUCAAACAGCCACGCUAAGCAUUCGGGUUCACCAGGUAGCUCAGGGGAAGCCAGCCCCUGAUAAGCAAGCUAAGCAAAUUCCCAGGGUUUCAGCUCUCCAGUCAAGAUCCUAAAAGCCAAUGGACUCUGCUAUAUUCUUCUCCACCCAUGGAGCACUGUGGCUCGGGUCACCGCACAGGCCACUGAACCAAUGCCCAGUUGGCCCGUGAGCCACGCCUUGAUCACUUCACUGUGGGAGGUCAGUUUCCUUUUUCCCUAAGAAUCCAACAUUGAAUUUCCCAGUCCGUCUUUUCUCAUUACAUAAGCCAGCUGUUUCCUGCAACCGCCUGCUGGGAUGAGAGCACUGGGCCGGGAGAUCUGGCCCCCGGACUGGUCUCCAGCACUCUCCAGCCACAGACUGGCCUCUUGGAGAUCCACUUCUUCAUCUGCAAAAUGGGAGUGCCCUCCCUGGCCUUCCUACGGGGCUGUGGCGACGACCCAGUGACAUGAUUGCCACGCUGCUCCCCUCCGUGAGCAUAGGGUGGUGGUGGUAUGUUACAGGGCACAGCUCGUGGCUGCAGCCUGGGGGUGCCCGGGUGGGGGUGCCUGGGUGGGGGUGAGAGAGGCCGAGCUGGUGCUCACACCAAGUGCUGACCCAGUGAUACGUCCAUUGUCCUUGGCCCUUGGCCCACCCACAACUUUCUCAGCAAUCUCGCCGCUGCCGCACCUUAAAACCACCCAGCAAGAAGAGGGGAAACUAUUUCUCUCCGUGAAGCCCUCAGGUCCUCCCUCCGAAACCAGAGCUUUGGGGAGAGCAGGCAAGUGAGCGGUGACUCAGUGUUUAGUCUAUGGCGUUCCGGGUGCACACGGCCUCCGGCGGCUGCAGCCGAACCCCCGCGGCUCGGAGGAAUCUGUGUGGGCACCAAGUGCACUCGCGGGGCAGACGAGCCCAGGGCAGCAGAGGCUGAGGAGACGCACUGGUCCAGAAAGAGGGAGGACAGAAAGGUUUCAAAGGCAGCCCUGAGUGGGCAAGCUGGGGUCAGGCAGGGAUGGGCUGGGGUCACCCGGAUGGCCAUCCAGGCGGAGGCUUCUGGAGCCAAUGAGGCGGUUUGGUGGUCAGAGAGCUGCUUUCCCCAACGGCUCCCUGGCUGCGAGUGUAAACAGCGAGCAGGCUCGUCAGGGCCUUGUGCGUGACUGAAGCAGAGGAAGCGGGGCUGGCCCACCUCACGCUUCUGGUCAGACCCCCCACCUCGAGCCCUGGGAGCAGCCAGGGAUGAUGCCCCCACAUCUCAGCCGCUCAGACGUGGAAAAUAUAACAUGGGAAACAUCUGCUCCUCUUCAUGGGAGUAAAGUGGCCUCUGUGUGCGCUGCUGUUUCCUCCUUGGGCCUCCUCUCUCCCUUCUCUCUUUCUUCCUGACUUUUGUAAACAUAAAAUGCGGUGCCACGGCCUGGCCUGCAAACCAAAUCCCAAAGAUAUCUGGGUGGGUUGGACCUGAGGGUCAUUUGCUACCACGAAGCCCGGCCUGCCAGGGGGAGACAUGUCUGUGAAGAGGGGGAGGGAAGGCCCAGGAGACAGGGAGCACGUCGGAGGUGUGAAAGGAAUCCCUGGAAUGGGGGACAAGCUAGACUCGCACCUUGGAGAUGUCACCACCUUCUCAGCCCAUGUGCUUAGUGAGAGCUGAGGAAGCUUUGCUUUGUCCCGUCCUUACACGGAAACCCCCUCGGCCCCAGGCCAUGCCUUCCACCUGCACCUUAUUUCAUCCAAAGCUUACUGCCAGGACUCAGCAAGUCAUAAAUAACAGUAAAAUACAGAAUAUCCACUGGAUGUUAAAUAGUUCAAUAAAUCAGGCUAACUAGA